Molecule: unclassified non-coding RNA, 230 nt
Filed under: plant metagenome
Description: partial contains small subunit ribosomal RNA, internal transcribed spacer 1, and 5.8S ribosomal RNA
Source: RNAcentral
UCUCCGUAGGUGAACCUGCGGAGGGAUCAUUACAGAGUGCAUGCCCUCCGGGUAGAUCUCCCACCCACUGCUAUCACUACUCUCGUUGCUUUGGCGGGCCGCUGGGCCCUACCCGGCCGCCGGCCCCGGCUGGCGCGUGCCCGCCAGAGACCUCACAGACUCUGAAUGUUAGUGUCGUCCGAGUAACUAUACAAUCGUUAAAACUUUCAACAACGGAUCUCUUGGUUCUG